Molecule: non-coding RNA, 447 nt
Organism: Capra hircus (goat)
Lineage: Eukaryota; Metazoa; Chordata; Mammalia; Artiodactyla; Bovidae
Source: the annotation of a RefSeq genome assembly
AUGGGUAGCUGGGCCCUCUACCUGGCCCUUUGUCUCCUGGGAGCAGGCCCCAAGGAUGCUGAAAUCUACCAGAUAGGAUUUCUGCUCGCUGAGGCUGGCCAGGAUGUGACCCUGGAGUGCAAACGGAACCUGGGCUACAGUGCCAUGUACUGGUACCAGCAGGACCCAGGGCAGGGUCUGAAGCUGACUUAUUACUCUACGCUUGAAACGGACAUUCAGAGAGGAGACUUAUCUGAAGGUUACAGUGUCUCUCGAGAGAAGAAGGAGCUGUUUCCUCUCACUGUGAAGUCUGCUCACACCAAGCAAACAGCCGUGUACCUCUGCUCCGGAGCACCACAGUGGAACACAGCCACCUCUCACCUGUGCACAAACCCACUCCAGCCCCACAGCCCCCGAUACAGCCUCCCUCUAAAAACUUGUAAAGCACCCUUUCCCUUCACGCUCUGA